AAGACCAUACUUUCAGGAAUCAUUCCUACAGUGUGUUACUGAAAUUUCUCUGAAUGUGUAGAGCACCAGAAACCACAAGGAGGAGGCACAGUCUUCUCUCCUGAGCAUGCAGUCAGCUUGGUAUUGUUUCGCUGCAAAUGCCAUUUGCCAUUGAUAUUCAUUUUUCUCUUCAUUCUGGAGAGUAACAGGGAGAGGAUGUAAUCUGAGUGGU
RNAcentral lists this small nucleolar RNA (211 nucleotides) under Propithecus coquereli (Coquerel's sifaka). Its description in RNAcentral is "Small nucleolar RNA U3 (ENSPCOG00000010315.1)". It matches the Rfam family "Small nucleolar RNA U3". Rfam says of the family: Small nucleolar RNAs (snoRNAs) are involved in the processing and modification of rRNA in the nucleolus. There are two main classes of snoRNAs: the box C/D class, and the box H/ACA class. The record is from Rfam by way of RNAcentral. Lineage: Eukaryota; Metazoa; Chordata; Mammalia; Primates; Indriidae.